CUUUGACCAUCUCUAAUUGUGUCUUGCUUUUAAGGUCCGCGUGCUUAAAAUUCUAGGCCUGACCCAACCCACGUGCGUGCCGUGCCGUACCGAAACGUGCUUAUGCCAUACUGUGCUAUAGGACACAUGCCGUGCCCGUAUCGUACCGCGUGCCGCCCGGCCCAUUGGCCAUCUUUAUUUUUAACUAAGGAAUUCCAUCAAACAGCAGUAAGAAUACACUUUUUGAAGUAUACAAUGUUUGCAUAAACAACAAUGGAGGUAUAAGGAAUUUGCUUGUAAUGGUCAACUGUCAAACAGGCAAUGGUGGCUCUUUCAAAAUGCCAGGAAAGAUUAGUCAAAGGAUAGCAUGCCUAUUAGUUUUGGCCGAUGAAACAGAUUCCUUAGAGUUGAAUCAAUUCACAAACUCUAGUCCUGUCAAAGGAGUCCCCCAUGAAGUUGAAGGGCAACGUCGCCAACAACCUGUAAUUGUACAAUCAAGAGAGAUGCAUAUAGG
This 493-nucleotide long non-coding RNA is filed under the name Citrus maxima (pomelo). Its description in RNAcentral is "long non-coding RNA (CMAX_LNC004393)". Lineage: Eukaryota; Viridiplantae; Streptophyta; Magnoliopsida; Sapindales; Rutaceae. The record is from RNAcentral.